UAUGCUGGAAUGAUAUCUGAAGAUUAUAUGUGAGAGUCAUUAUCACAUAUCAACACAUAGUCUAUUGGCACUUGAAUUUUAAGAAGCUAAAUAUGAUGUGGACUCCAAUACAUGAUGAAUUUCACGGCAACUAUUAUUGCAUGUAUGUGUUGAUAGCAGCAUUAAGUUCAUUUUGAAGUCUGCAAUAUAAAUAUUUGUACACACCGAUUACUUAUCUGCUUGCUUGGUGUGUUGGUG
Molecule: long non-coding RNA, 237 nt
Filed under: Phoenix dactylifera (date palm)
Lineage: Eukaryota; Viridiplantae; Streptophyta; Magnoliopsida; Arecales; Arecaceae
Description: long non-coding RNA (PDAC_LNC011345)
Source: RNAcentral